This 2041-nucleotide long non-coding RNA is filed under the name Sus scrofa (pig). Its description in RNAcentral is "lncRNA (ENSSSCG00060026974.1)". Lineage: Eukaryota; Metazoa; Chordata; Mammalia; Artiodactyla; Suidae. The record is from RNAcentral.
UUGUCAACUCGGUGAACUUUCUCGAGAGAGCACCGGGCAGCUUCUCUCGCCUCUCUCCUUCCCCCUUGUCUCUCACUGGCCUCUGGGUCGCUUCCAAAAGGUUGCUUCCUUCGAGUUUUCCCUGUUAAGCUUCACCUUGGCGUGGUCCAUACGGAAGGCAGAAUCAACCCCACUCACAGAUUCCCAAAGGGUCGAGUUUGGACAGUACUCCAGAGCAACGUUUUUGCUUUUGCUUUUUUUUUUCUUCAACUCCUACCCAGUGGUUGAUCUAUCAACAUCCUGCAACUUUGGAAAUUUCACUUUAUGAUUCACGAGUACCUGGAAUCUGCAGAGGAUUUUCGCUGUUAGGAGGAAAGGUAACUGCUUCUCCACUUGAUGCCAUUUCCACUUACAAACGGUUUCAGGGGACCGCUCUGCUUUCGGACACUGAGGAAAACGCCGUGCCGUCUCGGUCUCAACCGCCGUCUCUCCUCCAAUAGGGAAGUCACUGUCUUCUGAUGAAGCCACGUUGACUUGCAGGUCUUGGAUGAUUCAAAAAAAAAGAUCUUUCCAUCUCUGGACUUCCAGCUAGGCCUAAACAGAAAACAUGACCUUUUCAGAAAAGACGUUUAUUCAAGGUUUAAACCCAGUGGGUGGGCAUCAACAGAAUCAGGUGUGCUAACAGCAAGCCCUGCGUCUGGAGAGGAUACCAGCCCUGCAAAUAAAGGAAGAACCCAGAAGACCAGAUCCGAAUCUCGAAGAGCCCUCGAGGAGCCAUGCUCCCAUCACUCCCUGCCGUCUCCGCUGCCUUCUUAGGAGUUUGAAUUACGAGGUUAAGUACUUGAAUCAACCAUACUUUUCAAUGAUCUUCCAGUGGAAACCCUUCUGGACCGAAUACCGCCAAAGGGAGCCUCUGUGCCUGGGUUGGUGGUGAAGGGUCAUGGAGUUGCCGUUUUUAGACACCCAGAGUCAGCUUCCCAAGUCCACGGGGCACCCCAUGCUUUGCUUCUUGUUGCCUUUCCAGUUGGGUGCUUCCCUGAAGGAUACCUAGUAGCUUGCACCUGACCUGAAUACCAGUCACAGCAGCCUCCUCAGCUAGAGCCGUUCUUAACGUAUCCAUCCGUCCAACACAUAUUUCCUGAGCUCCUACUGUGUGCGGUGCUGCAGCGAUGCGGUCAACAACAGUCCUGUCCCUGCUUUCAGGACAUUCACAGUGCAGUAGAGGGGAAAAGACAGUGUUUAAAGGACCAGGGAUGAAAUUCAAAUUGAUGCAGAUUGAAUUCCCCUCGGAAAACUUCCCUCUGGCUCCAGAGAAUGGACUAGGGGCUGGGGGAGGGGCGCCACUCUCUGCCACCUGCUACCAUUCUGUGUGACACCGCUAGCACUCAGUCACCCUCUUUUUUAAUUUCCUGCAAGCACCGCACACACGUGCCCUGAAAGGCCUGCGUUUGUUUUCUUUUCCCCCCGGUGGCCAGUCUGCCUUUACAACACACAAUGGAAGCUUCAUGUAGGGAGGCACUUCCUCCAGUUUGCAGAAUUCCUGGAACCAAGAGGGAGCCCUGUCUUCUUUGUUGAGCCCAUGAGGGACUUGUCCCUUAAACUCCAGUAAGGCAGGAAUGCUAGAAGCACCUGAGAGAAGGCACGUGGGAAUUCCGAGAGGCAGUGGGAGGCCCCUGUACCUGGUGGGAAAGCCCUGCUGGCCUGAGCUGUUGUCACUCAAGGGGCUCCGGUCUGCUCCCUAGGAAUCCCUGGGGGAUUUGGAAAGAAGACCUUUCUUUGUUGUCGUAAUUUAAUUGCUGGUUAGCACUUCCAUCCAAGUUCAGCGAUAACUUCUGGAAUUUGCACCUGAAGAACUUUUUUCUUCUUUCAUGCUCCACUCCUACCCCCCCCCCCCACUGCUCUCUUCCCAGAAAUGGGUGCCUGGCCGAAAACCCAUGUACUUAGCAGUUGGCUGUGGCAGCACAUGAGUAAUCUCCCACCUUCAUCAAGGAAGAAAGAAAUGGAAAACUUGAUCCCCAGGUGGCUUCGCAGGAACUGGAAAAAAAAAAAAAAAAAAAAAAAA